UAAAUUUUGGAUUCAAGAGGAGAAAUGUGAAAAACGGGAACUGGUUGAUGGAUAUGGAUGAAACUUUGCAUCAGUGUUGUGUUUAUGCAUAGAAAUCAGGAAAAUAGAGGAUAACUGACAGACUAUGCAGUUACCAAAGCCGGGGUUUGAGUACAGGACCUUACCUUAUACUGGUUAAGAUCUAUGGAAGAACUCCUUCAGCUCAGUUUGGCAGCAGAUUUGUCAGGACACAUUGCGAAGAGAAAUGUGAAAAAUGGGAACUGGUUGAUGGAUAUGGAUGAAACUUUGCAUCAGUGUUGUGUUUAUGCAUAGAAAUCAGGAAAAUAGAGGAUAACUGACAGACCAUGCACGGUUACCAAAGCCGGGGUUUGAGUACAAGACCUUACCUUAUACUGGUUAAGAUCUAUGGAAGAACUCCUUCAGCUCAGUUUGGCAGCAGAUUUGUCAGGACACAUUGCGAAGAGAAAUGUGAAAAAUGGGAACUGGUUGAUGGAUAUGGAUGAAACUUUGCAUCAGUGUUGUGUUUAUGCAUAGAAAUCAGGAAAAUAGAGGAUAACUGACAGGUUUGAAAAUUUUUAAUUUUAAUUCAAAUUUUGACAUUUUAAAUUGGGACAGAUGUUGUUAUUGUUAUCUCCCCUUCAAAUGUAGAUGUCUGCUACUGUGUCAGUAAGUACAGAAGAAGGGUACAGAGCUUUUGCAUAAAGGAUUAACCACAUUUUAUUGAAUU
This is a long non-coding RNA of Ruditapes philippinarum (Manila clam), 727 nucleotides long. RefSeq lists it as uncharacterized. The record is from RefSeq and is a predicted model, not a curated record. Lineage: Eukaryota; Metazoa; Mollusca; Bivalvia; Venerida; Veneridae. The transcript is spliced from 5 exons.